Salmo trutta (river trout) is the source of this 1956-nucleotide long non-coding RNA. Lineage: Eukaryota; Metazoa; Chordata; Actinopteri; Salmoniformes; Salmonidae. The record is from Ensembl.
UGAGUCUGAUGACCAGGCUACAGUGUGCAAUUCCCCAAGUCAACUCUUACAAAAGCGCUAUUCCCCGCACGCAGAGUAAAAACACGGUUAUUUUUGGAGUAGGGGGUACGUUCUCUGUUGAUUCUGUGUAGAGAGGUAGCAAGAAGAAAAACCAAGAGGGAUUCGCUCUUAAUGAAUGAAAAUACGGAUCGGCGCUGUACACGCAGCCAGAGUAAAGUGGCUGAGAUCGAAGGGAAGAAAAUAAGAAAUAAGUGGGGAUAGCACAAAACAAGGAAAAGCAAAGGGGGCACGCGAACCGGAGACGAAGCAAAACCGCUGCAACUGACGAUCAACGGAUUACAACAUUAUUCCCGUUGUUGGCGAGUAAACUAUUUUCUAGAGGGAAUUGAUGGUGUCUUUACAGAGCAGAACAGACUUUGCCGAGGUGAUUUUGAAUGCACUCGGCUGAAUCAUGCUGAGGUUGUGGAUAAUAACUUUGGCUAUCAGUUUUAACAAAGAGUCCGAUCCCAUCAACAUCUGCAGAGGUAUCAACAUCAAGCUCAGCACCAGCAACUAGUGUAAGUCACCUUACUAAAAUCGACAAGAUUUUUCCAUGAUGAGAAAACAAAUGUACUGGAGCUAGGCAUAAACAUGGUCUGUGUCUUGUUGCAAUAGAUGGUGUGUUUACAAGUAGGCUACAACUCAAGUCCUACUGUAGUUCUCUGUAUUAUGGAGUCUUAGUUGCAUGAACAAUCAAGGCUUGAAGUCUAAAUUGGAGAACAUUAGGUACUGGUUAGGAGGGGAUGGUGUGGGUGGGUGACUGACUGGUGUCUGUUAGGGUGGGUAUUGUGUGUGUGAAGGUUAGUAUGCAUGAUCUAUUGACUUGAGGGGGGUGGGUGGAUAUAGUACCUUGUUUGAGUGUGUAUUGAUGGGGACAAAGUAGUAAAAUGUUAGCUAAUCACUGACUGCAGUGUCCUACAGACUAAUCCUGCUGCUGCUGACCUUGACACUAGCGUUGGUAGUACAGAGCCUGUAGACUCAUUGGAUGAAAGCUUUCAGCCUGGAAUAAACUCAAAAUCAUCUGACUUUGAAACAAGCCAGGACAGCAAAAGGAGACUUGUAGUACUAACAAAUAAUCUGCAAGAGGUCGAAGCAUUGGGUGGUGAAGAAAGUGUACGAGAGGCUUGUCCACCUGGCUGUGGAGUGCAGAAAGGACCUGACGGUUGUCUACAAGGAGCCAGACUCAGAGUGCCCCAAACCCAAUAUCACUGCCAACAGCGCCAAAGCCUGCUAAACCAGCUGCCAUUACUCAACACAAGAAAAGGUUCACCCUCUGAAGAGCAUUCCGGAACCUGCCUGGAACAUUCAACCAACACAACAUCCAUAUUUUUGUAGUAUAAUAUAGAAUGCCUAGUAUGCUCACAAUGACAUUGUGGUAUAGAUAUUGCUAGCUGUUGUACAUACAGCAUAUAUAAGUAUACUGUCAAGUGGGUAAAUUAUUCCAGCUGCAUUAGAAAAGUGUUGACUUCAACUUCUGGAUCAAUUCAUUGUGAUAUUCAUGAAAUGUAUUUGGAUAAACUAGCUUCUGUCUUACUGCACAAAACAAUGAUGCAGGGAGUUGGUGUAUCAUUUAAACUUUAAUUUGUUGGCAAGUUAAACAUGUUUCAAUAAAACAGUAUAUUAGUCUUUCAAUAGAAAGUAGAUUGACAGUAGAUUAGUCUGCUAAGUGACAAAUGUAAAAAAAAAAAAGAUAUAUAGUAAAUAAGGGACAUUGGCUUGUAUUCAAGACAAAGUUUAUUUGCUUUGGAGACCGAGGUGAGUGUACUCAGCAGUAUGCAGGAACAGUUAUGGCAAUUUAUAUACAGUAGAAUAAAAAUAUACUACUAACGCUUAUAAUAAAUACCCUGAAACGCUUAUGUACAAGCCCUUAACCAACAGUGCAGGUCAAGAAGAGUUAAGAAAAUAUUUACCAAAUAA